Molecule: ribosomal RNA, 497 nt
Filed under: uncultured bacterium
Lineage: Bacteria
Description: partial 16S ribosomal RNA
Rfam family: Bacterial small subunit ribosomal RNA
Source: RNAcentral
GAUGAACGCUGGCGGCGUGCCUAAUACAUGCAAGUCGAGCGAACAGAUGAGGAGCUUGCUCCUCUGACGUUAGCGGCGGACGGGUGAGUAACACGUGGAUAACCUACCUAUAAGACUGGGAUAACUUCGGGAAACCGGAGCUAAUACCGGAUAAUAUAUUGAACCGCAUGGUUCAAUAGUGAAAGACGGUUUUGCUGUCACUUAUAGAUGGAUCCGCGCCGCAUUAGCUAGUUGGUAAGGUAACGGCUUACCAAGGCAACGAUGCGUAGCCGACCUGAGAGGGUGAUCGGACACAAUGGAACUGGAGCACGGACCAGACUCCUACGAGGAGCAGCAGUAGGGAAUCUUCCGCGAUGGGCGAAAGCCUGACGGAGCAACACCGCGUGAGUGAUAAAGGUCUUCGGAUCGUAAAACUCUGUUAUUAGGGAAGAACAAAUGUGUAAGUAACUAUGCACGUCUUGACGGUACCUAAUCAGAAAGCCACGGCUAACUACGUG